CCCCUAGAUGUUCUGGGCCGCACGCGCGCUACACUGAACAGUUCAACAAGUCUUAACCUUGGCCGAUAGGUCUGGGUAAUCUUUGAACGCUGUUCGUGAUUGGGAUAGACCUUUGCAAUUAUGGGUCUUCAACGAGGAAUUCCUAGUAAACGCAAGUCAUCAGCUUGCAUUGAUUACGUCCCUGCCCUUUGUACACACCGCCCGUCGCACCUACCGAUUGAGUGAUCCGGUGAAUAAUUCGGACUGCAGCAGUGUUCAGUUCCUGAACGUUGCAGCGGAAAGUUUAGUGAACCUUAUCACUUAGAGGAAGGAGAANUCGUANCA
RNAcentral lists this ribosomal RNA (324 nucleotides) under uncultured eukaryote. RNAcentral's name for it is "partial 18S ribosomal RNA". It matches the Rfam family "Eukaryotic small subunit ribosomal RNA", at positions 1470 to 1796 of the family's 1831-position model. The record is from RNAcentral.